Long non-coding RNA from Gallus gallus (chicken), 2721 nucleotides. NCBI's taxonomy places the organism in Eukaryota, Metazoa, Chordata, Aves, Galliformes, Phasianidae. The record is from Ensembl.
UAGUAAUGUACUCUCCUGCAAAAUAAAAUCUCUGUGCUUGGUUGGUUUUCCACAGCUGUAUUUAUAAUUCCUCACAUGUAUCCCAGCUAGGUUUUUAAUGAUGUUUUUUAAUUUGUUUCAAUAUUCUGGAAAUGCCCAAGUACAUCCCAUAUUGGUUACUAUUGGGUCACGGAAGAAAGAAAGAAGAUUUUCACCAUGCCCCUAGUAGACAAGAGUGUUGCCAAACAGUUUAGAAACCAAAGCCAUAUUGCCCCUCCAGUUUCCAAAGUAUUUCCAUCUCUUCAGUUUGGACACCUCAAAGGUAGGUUUACCUAACACUAACUUGGACCACAUCUACAAAUGAUGGUGAUAAAAAGCACUCCUGUAUUUGAGUUGAUACACAUCAGAGAACUCCACUACCAAACCAAAAACCACACUCAAACAUGUUCCUGGGAGAAAAGUAGGCUGAAGAUAUUGUCUCUUUAUUCCAGACAGGGCCUGUUCAUUGUGGCUGGUGAAGAUGAUUAUCUCAGAUUCAAAACCAUUAGGAAUAACCUUUCCAGCUGCUUGAAAGAUUGUUCUUAAAAAAUAGAGCAGUUAUUACCUAUACACAACUUAUAUUCUCAAAUACAGUAUUUCUCUGGGGAAGAUUAAUAUUCGCUUAUUUUCUAGUGCAAGAAGUAAUGUUAUUAGAACAAUGUGGUGACGAAGGAAUAGGUUUAGGUAUGAGUCAACUGUAUCCACAAAAUUAUCAUUUUUUGAAUAUAGAGAAUAUCGACAUUAUGCCAAAUAAAAACUGUGAGUCUCUUGUUUGCCAACAUGAUCCAAUGCCUACCAGAGGCAUGGUUCUGUGUCUCCAGCCCUUUGGACAGCCCAUUGAUGCUGAUGACCCUAUGAAAAAAGUUUGUUUUGAAGCACCUGAUGUAUGCCUUCCUCUAAAGCAUACAGUCUGCUGAUUUGUGUGAACUACAGUGGCAGUAAUGUACUACCAGGAUUUCAACAACAACUUGCUUUAAGUAUUUGCUCUAGAUCACAUUACCAACUCUACAUUCAUCAAAAUAAGCAAGUGUUUGUGUUAACACGUAUGUUUUUGUGUUCACAUACAAAGCAGCUUCCUUUCUAAACAAGACAGACUGGAUUCAUGAUGAUAGCCCUGGUGAGGAGCCAUGCAGGGAUGGCCUGAGAUGGGCAGCAGCAAACUUGAUCGUGUACUCAUAGCAUUCUCAGAGAAUCAGAAGACUUUGGGCUUCUAAUAGAGUUAGGCAGAACUGUGUGACCAUGGUUAUGUGGAUCAUGAAGCGGAAAAGAUUUAAAAUAGUAUCUCUCUGCAUACCUACCCGUCCUCUGCUUACACCUUUUUGCUUCUCUGUGCACUUGUGUAGUGUCUGACUGAGACUCAGCGUGCAAUUUCAAUUCAGUUUGCAUGAUUUAUCCCGAAUUAUUUAUAGCAUAACUUGCACACACAGUGUUGCUUCGGAGUCCAAGAUCAGAGCAUGGCCUUUCCAAGAUACUGUGUGAAUGCAUAACUAGAAAAGGCUUUGUAAAAAUCCUUUACCUUAGACCACAAAGAAAGCCAGAGUCAGAGCAGAAGGGAGCAUGGAUCCCCAGAGUAGCAUCCCUAUUGCUCAGUCCUGGAUUGUGACUUCUCUGUGGAUGUUUGUUUGGUUGCUUACAGACUUUCAGGAGCAAAACCUUGGAUUACUUUUGUCACAGCACAGUUUGGGAUAUAUACUCAAAAAACACAGUGAAAAGCGUUGAACUUAUAUCAAUGUUGCCAAGACAAUAAUCAUCCCAGGAAACACUUCCUCAUUGUGUAGGCAAUGAAGCACUGGCACAGGAACCCAGAGAGGCUGUGUUCCUUCCUUGGAGAUCUCCAAAAGGCACCUGGAUGUGGUGCUGUGUACCUUUCUCUGGGUGUCCUUGUUGGGGCGCGCAUUGAGCCAGAUGGAUCCAGAGCUCCAGGCAACCUCAGCAAUUCCCGAAAGUCAAGUCUUGAUUUUUGUAUUAGAACCACUAUUCCAUUAGUGCACACCAUACCCGUGAAAUCCCUAUUUGAAAACACACUUUCUUAUAAUUCCUUCACAACCGUAUGCCAGACUAUUUGAUUGAUAAGACAUUAAAACUGCAAAGGCAGCACACUAUUUCUUCCCAGUGGUAGCCAGUGUUCCCAAAAAGCAUGAGUAGAUUUGCCUCAAAGAGUUAAUGGUAUGGCUUGCUGCAGCUCCAUAGGCAGCUAACCUUGCAAGCUUUCCCUGUCAGCUUAAGGUGUUGUUUUAUCUGCAGCACUGAGGAGUGGGUGGAGCAGAGAGCAGUGCUGAAACUGAAAAUCCAGCAAACUCAGACAAGAAAGCAUUUGCAGCCGCUGUCUGUUUGGUGCAAAGUUUUGGUUCAUUAGUCUUGAAACGUUUCACUAAGAGAAUGCUUCUGGUAUGCUGUAAACAACUGAAAGUACCUCGCAUGCAACAGCACUCUGUCAGAAAUGAAGAUGGCUUAUUCCCUCUUCUAAAAUAUUUAGAAAGUCGGUGACAAAGUUAAGCAAUGGUCAUCCUUGUGCUUUUUAAAGAUUAGCAUUGCGCUAACAAGCAAGUAAAAAUAUUUCUUUUCGUUUCCAGUUCGUUUUGUUUGAGGCUCAAAAAUACAAUUCUCUUUGCCCCUCUUAUUAAUUUUCCAAAUGCUUUAAAAUAAAUAAAUAAAUAAAUAAAUAAAUAGCGGUACAUUAAAGUGUUCUUAACAUCAUUUAGG